AGCAGCCGCGGUAAUUCCAGCUCCAAUAAGCGUAUAUUAAAGUUGUUGCAGUUAAAAAGCUCGUAGUUGAAUUUCGGGACUAAUAUGUCGGUCGUACUUUGUACGUACUAGCAUUAUUGGUUUCUCCCUUCUGUACGAACCACGAUGUCAUUAAUUUGGUGUCAUGGGGAAUCAGGACUGGUUACUUUGAAAAAUUAGAGUGUUUAAAGCAAGCUCGCGCUUGAAUACAUUAGCAUGGAAUAAUGAAAUAGGACGUUUGAUUCUAUUUUGUUGGUUUCUAGGAUCGACGUAAUGAUUAAUAGGGAUAGUUGGGGGCAUUAGUAUUCAAUUGUCAGAGGUGAAAUUCUUGGAUUUAUUGAAGACUAACUACUGCGAAAGCAUUUGCCAAGGAUGUUUUCAUUAAUCAAGAACGAAAGUUAGGGGAUCGAAGACGAUCAGAUACCGUCGUAGUCUUAACCAUAAACUAUGCCGACUAGGGAUCGGAUGAUGUUAAUUUUUAAUGACUCAUUCGGCGCCUUAC
Molecule: ribosomal RNA, 520 nt
Filed under: uncultured Glomus
Lineage: Eukaryota; Fungi; Glomeromycota; Glomeromycetes; Glomerales; Glomeraceae
Description: SSU rRNA
Rfam family: Eukaryotic small subunit ribosomal RNA
Source: RNAcentral